This 497-nucleotide ribosomal RNA is filed under the name uncultured bacterium. Its description in RNAcentral is "partial 16S ribosomal RNA". It matches the Rfam family "Bacterial small subunit ribosomal RNA", at positions 28 to 507 of the family's 1533-position model. The record is from RNAcentral.
GAUGAACGCUGGCGGUGUGCCUAAUACAUGCAAGUCGAGCGAACAGACGAGGAGCUUGCUCCUCUGACGUUAGCGGCGGACGGGUGAGUAACACGUGGAUAACCUACCUAUAAGACUGGGAUAACUUCGGGAAACCGGAGCUAAUACCGGAUAAUAUAUUGAACCGCAUGGUUCAAUAGUGAAAGACAGUUUUGCUGUCACUUAUAGAUGGAUCCGCGCCGCAUUAGCUAGUUGGUAAGGUAACGGCUUACCAAGGCAACGAUGCGUAGCCGACCUGAGAGGGUGAUCGGCCACACUGGAACUGAGACACGGUCCAGACUCCUACGGGAGGCAGCAGUAGGGAAUCUUCCGCAAUGGGCGAAAGCCUGACGGAGCAACGCCGCGUGAGUGAUGAAGGUCUUCGGAUCGUAAAACUCUGUUAUUAGGGAAGAACAAAUGUGUAAGUAACUAUGCACGUAUUGACGGUACCUAAUCAGAAAGCCACGGCUAACUACGUG